GAUGAACGCUGGCGGCGCGCCUAAUACAUGCAAGUCGAGCGAACGGACGAGAAGCUUGCUUCUCUGAUGUUAGCGGCGGACGGGUGAGUAACACGUGGAUAACCUACCUAUAAGACUGGGAUAACUUCGGGAAACCGGAGCUAAUACCGGAUAAUAUUUUGAACCGCAUGGUUCAAAAGUGAAAGACGGUCUUGCUGUCACUUAUAGAUGGAUCCGCGCUGCAUUAGCUAGUUGGUAAGGUAACGGCUUACCAAGGCAACGAUGCAUAGCCGACCUGAGAGGGUGAUCGGCCACACUGGAACUGAGACACGGUCCAGACUCCUACGGGAGGCAGCAGUAGGGAAUCUUCCGCAAUGGGCGAAAGCCUGACGGAGCAACGCCGCGUGAGUGAUGAAGGUCUUCGGAUCGUAAAACUCUGUUAUUAGGGAAGAACAUAUGUGUAAGUAACUGUGCACAUCUUGACGGUACCUAAUCAGAAAGCCACGGCUAACUACGUGCCAGCAGCCGCGGUAAUACGUAGGUGGCAAGCGUUAUCCGGAAUUAUUGGGCGUAAAGCGCGCGUAGGCGGUUUUUUAAGUCUGAUGUGAAAGCCCACGGCUCAACCGUGGAGGGUCAUUGGAAACUGGAAAACUUGAGUGCAGAAGAGGAAAGUGGAAUUCCAUGUGUAGCGGUGAAAUGCGCAGAGAUAUGGAGGAACACCAGUGGCGAAGGCGACUUUCUGGUCUGUAACUGACGCUGAUGUGCGAAAGCGUGGGGAUCAAACAGGAUUAGAUACCCUGGUAGUCCACGCCGUAAACGAUGAGUGCUAAGUGUUAGGGGGUUUCCGCCCCUUAGUGCUGCAGCUAACGCAUUAAGCACUCCGCCUGGGGAGUACGACCGCAAGGUUGAAACUCAAAGGAAUUGACGGGGACCCGCACAAGCGGUGGAGCAUGUGGUUUAAUUCGAAGCAACGCGAAGAACCUUACCAAAUCUUGACAUCCUUUGACAACUCUAGAGAUAGAGCCUUCCCCUUCGGGGGACAAAGUGACAGGUGGUGCAUGGUUGUCGUCAGCUCGUGUCGUGAGAUGUUGGGUUAAGUCCCGCAACGAGCGCAACCCUUAAGCUUAGUUGCCAUCAUUAAGUUGGGCACUCUAAGUUGACUGCCGGUGACAAACCGGAGGAAGGUGGGGAUGACGUCAAAUCAUCAUGCCCCUUAUGAUUUGGGCUACACACGUGCUACAAUGGACAAUACAAAGGGCAGCGAAACCGCGAGGUCAAGCAAAUCCCAUAAAGUUGUUCUCAGUUCGGAUUGUAGUCUGCAACUCGACUACAUGAAGCUGGAAUCGCUAGUAAUCGUAGAUCAGCAUGCUACGGUGAAUACGUUCCCGGGUCU
Molecule: ribosomal RNA, 1372 nt
Filed under: uncultured bacterium
Lineage: Bacteria
Description: bacterial SSU rRNA
Rfam family: Bacterial small subunit ribosomal RNA
Source: RNAcentral